This 71-nucleotide transfer RNA is filed under the name Camelus bactrianus (Bactrian camel). It matches the Rfam family "tRNA". From Rfam's summary of the family: Transfer RNA (tRNA) molecules are approximately 80 nucleotides in length. Their secondary structure includes four short double-helical elements and three loops (D, anti-codon, and T loops). Further hydrogen bonds mediate the characteristic L-shaped molecular structure. tRNAs have two regions of fundamental functional importance: the anti-codon, which is responsible for specific mRNA codon recognition, and the 3' end, to which the tRNAs corresponding amino acid is attached (by aminoacyl-tRNA synthetases). tRNAs cope with the degeneracy of the genetic code in two manners: having more than one tRNA (with a specific anti-codon) for a particular amino acid; and 'wobble' base-pairing, i.e. permitting non-standard base-pairing at the 3rd anti-codon position. RNAcentral also lists the same sequence under 2 other names. Lineage: Eukaryota; Metazoa; Chordata; Mammalia; Artiodactyla; Camelidae. The record is from Rfam by way of RNAcentral.
GGGAGUAUAGCUCAUUGAUAGAGUGUGUGCUUGAGGUGCAUGAGGUCCUAGGUUCAACCCCAGUGCCUCUG